Molecule: ribosomal RNA, 323 nt
Filed under: uncultured beta proteobacterium
Lineage: Bacteria; Pseudomonadati; Pseudomonadota; Betaproteobacteria
Description: bacterial SSU rRNA
Rfam family: Bacterial small subunit ribosomal RNA
Source: RNAcentral
CAUAAUCUCUGAGGAGAAAAGCAGGGGAUCGCAAGACCUUGCGCUUUUAGAGCGGCCGAUGCCUGAUUAGCUUGUUGGUAAGGUAAAAGCUUACCAAGGCUUCGAUCAGUAGCUGGUCUGAGAGGACGGCCAGCCACACUGGGACUGAGACACGGCCCAGACUCCUACGGGAGGCAGCAGUGGGGAAUUUUGGACAAUGGGGGCAACCCUGAUCCAGCCAUGCCGCGUGAGUGAAGAAGGCCUUCGGGUUGUAAAGCUCUUUCAGCCGGAACGAAACGGUUACGGUUAAUACCCGUGACUAAUGACGGUACCGGAAGAAGAAG